RNAcentral lists this ribosomal RNA (404 nucleotides) under Verrucomicrobiota bacterium. RNAcentral's name for it is "Verrucomicrobia bacterium partial 16S ribosomal RNA". It matches the Rfam family "Bacterial small subunit ribosomal RNA", at positions 355 to 776 of the family's 1533-position model. The record is from RNAcentral. Lineage: Bacteria; Pseudomonadati; Verrucomicrobiota.
UGGGGAAUAUUGGACAAUGGGCGCAAGCCUGAUCCAGCCAUGCCGCGUGAGUGAUGAAGGCCCUAGGGUUGUAAAGCUCUUUCACCGGUGAAGAUAAUGACGGUAACCGGAGAAGAAGCCCCGGCUAACUUCGUGCCAGCAGCCGCGGUAAUACGAAGGGGGCUAGCGUUGUUCGGAUUUACUGGGCGUAAAGCGCACGUAGGCGGACUUUUAAGUCAGGGGUGAAAUCCCGGGGCUCAACCCCGGAACUGCCUUUGAUACUGGAAGUCUUGAGUAUGGUAGAGGUGAGUGGAAUUCCGAGUGUAGAGGUGAAAUUCGUAGAUAUUCGGAGGAACACCAGUGGCGAAGGCGGCUCACUGGACCAUUACUGACGCUGAGGUGCCAAAGCGUGGGGAGCAAACAGG